CCAUAUAAGCUAGUGCAGAAGCAAGGAUGGAAAACACACAGAGGUGUGUUAAUGAAAAUUUUGGACAGGACUACCCCUAAACAAAACACAAUCUGAUCGUGACCUACCUCUUCUCCUUUAUUAUCGUGUGACCUUCAUUUUCGCCUUCCAUGUUGUGAGAGAUCGCCUCCCACCGCGCCUCUACAGAUUGAAACCGCCCCUUUGUAGAUUGUCAUUGUGCCUCCCACCGCGCCUCAUCACGCACCUCUACAGAUUGUCGUCGUGUCACCUCCCUCAUCGUCACCGCGUUUGCUUCGCCUCCCUCCUCGUGACGCACCUUUCUUUGAGAUGCAAACACAAGAAGCAACACUUUGAGUUCAACGAGUAAAAAAAGAAGGAGAAUUUUCGGUAGAUGAAGAAUCGUUGGUAGCCAACGCAGGGGAAGCACGUGGAGCACAGUUUUGAUUCGUUUCCUUUGUGGCACAAGACUAUAAUAAUUUUGACUUAAAAGGUUUCGUGAUAGAGUAAUUAAUAAUGCAAAUUUAUAUAUAUGAACUUUUUUAUCGUUUGAUU
Glycine soja is the source of this 552-nucleotide long non-coding RNA. RefSeq lists it as uncharacterized. The record is from RefSeq and is a predicted model, not a curated record. The transcript has 2 exons. NCBI's taxonomy places the organism in Eukaryota, Viridiplantae, Streptophyta, Magnoliopsida, Fabales, Fabaceae.